Molecule: ribosomal RNA, 414 nt
Filed under: Mantidactylus tripunctatus
Lineage: Eukaryota; Metazoa; Chordata; Amphibia; Anura; Mantellidae
Description: partial large subunit ribosomal RNA
Rfam family: Bacterial large subunit ribosomal RNA
Source: RNAcentral
UGUCUCCUUUUUCUAAUCAGUGAAACUAAUCUUCCCGUGAAGAAGCGGGAAUACUCCCAUAAGACGAGAAGACCCCAUGGAGCUUCAAACCCAAUUACACCCCUAACCCAUAUAACUAUUUAACCCUUAGGGCCCUGUACCAUUGGUUUUAGGUUGGGGCGACCACGGAGUACAACAAAACCUCCACAAUGAACGGAACUACUCCCUCAUCUAAGAGCUACACCUCUAAGAAUUAAAAUAUUAACAUAAAAUGAUCCAUUUUUUGAUCAAUGAACCAAGUUACCCUGGGGAUAACAGCGCAAUCCAUUUCAAGAGCCCCUAUCGACAAAUGGGUUUACGACCUCGAUGUUGGAUCAGGGUAUCCUAGUGGUGCAGCAGCUACUGAAGGUUCGUUUGUUCAACGAUCAAAACNCU